AGUGGGAUAGCUGGGUCAAAUGGUGGUUCCAUUCCUAAUUUUCUGAGAAAUCUACAUACUGCUUUCCAUAGUGGUUGCACCAAUUUGCAAUCCCAUCAGCAGA
This 103-nucleotide microRNA precursor is filed under the name Marmota monax (woodchuck). The record is from RNAcentral. Lineage: Eukaryota; Metazoa; Chordata; Mammalia; Rodentia; Sciuridae.